CAUUGUUAGUAGACCUGAUUUACAAGAAAUACUAAAGAAAGUUCUUCAGGCUGAAAACAAGUGACCCCAGUAAAGGUACGGGAAGAUUACAGAAGAUGGAUUACCAGGAAGACCACACCCGGAUCCCAGUCCCAGACAUCAGGGGUCAUACUGACAUCCUUUGCCUUCACUUCCAAAACGGGUUAAAGCUCUUUCUUGCUUUCAAAUACGCUAUGAAGCAACAUUUGAGGACAGCAGGUGCCGGCAGGAGCUGACGCUGAAAUCUUCUCUUCAUGGCUUAAUGUGGAAUUGCAGAUCUCACCAGCCCCAGGACUCUCUGGGUGAUUCAGAGCACUGAUGGGUGGGGCGCUCUUCCCACGUUCCAUGCGCUGGUGAGAAACAAGACUUUCUGUUCCAGAUUACCAUUUUAUCUUCUAUGUUCUGCAACCCUUUGAAUUUCCAGAGUUUUGAGGAAAUAACAGAUCCUAGUGCAAUGGCAUGACCAAGAACAUCUGGCUACCGUUUUGUUUUCUCCUAAGUUCUUUGGCGUGUGGCUGCAAGCCUGCCUCUCCAGCACCUGUCACAGAGUAUGGAAACGGCUUCAGGAAA
Diceros bicornis minor is the source of this 588-nucleotide long non-coding RNA. RefSeq lists it as uncharacterized. The record is from RefSeq and is a predicted model, not a curated record. Lineage: Eukaryota; Metazoa; Chordata; Mammalia; Perissodactyla; Rhinocerotidae. The transcript is spliced from 3 exons.